Molecule: ribosomal RNA, 480 nt
Filed under: uncultured bacterium
Lineage: Bacteria
Description: bacterial SSU rRNA
Rfam family: Bacterial small subunit ribosomal RNA
Source: RNAcentral
AUUGAACGCUGGCGGCAUGCCUUACACAUGCAAGUCGACGGUAACGGGCCUUCGGGUGCCGACGAGUGGCGAACGGGUGAGUAAUGUAUCGGAACGUACCUUCAGUGGGGGAUAACGUAGCGAAAGUUACGCUAAUACCGCAUAUUCUGUGAGCAGGAAAGCAGGGGAUCGCAAGACCUUGCGCUGAUUGAGCGGCCGAUAUCAGAUUAGCUAGUUGGUGAGGUAAAGGCUCACCAAGGCGACGAUCUGUAGCGGGUCUGAGAGGAUGAUCCGCCACACUGGAACUGAGACACGGUCCAGACUCCUACGGGAGGCAGCAGUGGGGAAUUUUGGACAAUGGGGGCAACCCUGAUCCAGCCAUGCCGCGUGAGUGAAGAAGGCCUUCGGGUUGUAAAGCUCUUUCGGCCGGGAAGAAAUCGUAUGGGUUAAUACCCUGUGCGGAUGACGGUACCGGCAUAAGAAGCACCGGCUAACUACGUG